Molecule: ribosomal RNA, 484 nt
Filed under: uncultured bacterium
Lineage: Bacteria
Description: partial 16S ribosomal RNA
Rfam family: Bacterial small subunit ribosomal RNA
Source: RNAcentral
AUUGAACGCUGGCGGCAGGCCUAACACAUGCAAGUCGAGCGGAUGAAGGGAGCUUGCUCCUGGAUUCAGCGGCGGACGGGUGAGUAAUGCCUAGGAAUCUGCCUGGUAGUGGGGGAUAACGUCCGGAAACGGGCGCUAAUACCGCAUACGUCCUGAGGGAGAAAGUGGGGGAUCUUCGGACCUCACGCUAUCAGAUGAGCCUAGGUCGGAUUAGCUAGUUGGUGGGGUAAAGGCCUACCAAGGCGACGAUCCGUAACUGGUCUGAGAGGAUGAUCAGUCACACUGGAACUGAGACACGGUCCAGACUCCUACGGGAGGCAGCAGUGGGGAAUAUUGGACAAUGGGCGAAAGCCUGGUCCAGCCAUGCCGCGUGUGUGAAGAAGGUCUUCGGAUUGUAAGGCACUUUAAGUUGGGAGGAAGGGCAGUAAGUUAAUACCUUGCUGUUUUGACGUUACCAACAGAAUAAGCACCGGCUAACUUCGUG